UAAAAGUUUUCUUUUUCUACCACUUUUAAAUCCUGUGUUCAUCCAUCACUUAAAUUUGGAAAUGCAGAAACAUUUCAAGGGGUGUGAAUACUCUGCGGUGUCAUGUUCAGAUGUUAAUAUAAUGAAACUUAAAUUUCCCAGAGCUCAGCCAUUUCGUAAUGACAAUGUUUCGCUGUUUCAGAUUGAAGCAUUUCACAGUCUGCCGUCCUCCAAAUGAUUUCCUUGUUGCUUCUUUUAAUUCAAAGAUACAGUCCAAUCCAGAAUCUAUGCUGGUGUCUCUACAGACAGAUCUGUUGUGCUAGAAGGAGAAAAACUUCCUGCAAGUAUAAUCUCCUCUUCCAACCAAGAGCCAAGGCCAAACAAGCGGAGAGAUGCCACUGCUAAGCCGGACCCGCUCGUUUUCCACCAAGAAAACGCUGAUCCAUUGGUAGCAGUGAAAUGCAGUUUCGCUUGUUUGCGAAGAUGCAUAAUUGUGCCCGUUGAGGCUGCUGCUCCCACGUCGACAAUAGACAAUGGAGGGCGAGAGCAGAUGCAGCUUCUGCAGUACAAUGGGCCCUGACAACAUGGAAUUACAGCCUCUGCAGCUAAAAAAGUAGCUUUUUUUUAUUCCCGUGCUCCGGGGAACGGCAAUAAAGGGUGGGGCACGGCGAAUGAAAGCACCGAUUCUCAUACAAAAUAGCAUCUGGACUGAUCUGUCACUCCCAAACCUUCCCUCUCUCCGUAACAAAAGAAAAACAAACAAACUUAGGAAGAAACUCAGUAGAAAGAGAACCACUGGAUGCAGAUGAAUCAGGUUUUGGACUUUCAGGAAAAACACAGAAAGGAAAAACCACACAGCUCAACGCUGUCGCGAGACCGCGAGCGGGCCUGGUGCCGAGCAGCUGUGAGACAGGCUCCAGGUGAAAGAUGAGUCGAGUCCUGCGGGAAGACAUCAAUCAUUGAUGGACUGACGCAUCCGAGAGGGAAGGAGCAAAGAGAAGCAGGAGGAGAGCCAGGAGAGAGCAGACAACAAACGCACCCUCCCACCGAUGAGUCCUGACCUUGCUGAGAAGCGACAGAGUCAUCAGCGCCGGGCUCAGCCCAGCCCAACCCGGCCCAACCCGGCCCAUGAAGGAUAUGAG
This is a long non-coding RNA of Gambusia affinis (western mosquitofish), 1121 nucleotides long. RefSeq lists it as uncharacterized. NCBI's taxonomy places the organism in Eukaryota, Metazoa, Chordata, Actinopteri, Cyprinodontiformes, Poeciliidae. The transcript has 2 exons. The record is from RefSeq and is a predicted model, not a curated record.